GCUAACUCCGUGCCAGCAGCCGCGGUAAUACGGAGGGUGCGAGCGUUAAUCGGAAUUACUGGGCGUAAAGCGUGCGUAGGCGGAAGCUUAAGUCUGAUGUGAAAGCCCCGGGCUUAACCUGGGAAUGGCAUUGGAAACUGGGUUUCUAGAGUGUGGUAGAGGAUAGUGGAAUUUCCAGUGUAGCGGUGAAAUGCGUAGAUAUUGGAAAGAACACCGAUGGCGAAGGCAGCUAUCUGGGCCAACACUGACGCUGAGGUACGAAAGCGUGGGGAGCAAACAGGAUUAGAUACCCUGGUAGUC
RNAcentral lists this ribosomal RNA (300 nucleotides) under uncultured Halothiobacillus sp. RNAcentral's name for it is "bacterial SSU rRNA". It matches the Rfam family "Bacterial small subunit ribosomal RNA", at positions 496 to 795 of the family's 1533-position model. The record is from RNAcentral. Lineage: Bacteria; Pseudomonadati; Pseudomonadota; Gammaproteobacteria; Chromatiales; Halothiobacillaceae.